UCUAAUAUGGCAGAUUAGUGCAAUGGAUUUAAGCUUCAUAAAUAAAGUAUUUCAACUUUUAUUAGAA
RNAcentral lists this transfer RNA (67 nucleotides) under Pollenia rudis. RNAcentral describes it as "tRNA-Leu". RNAcentral also lists the same sequence under 1 other name. The record is from RNAcentral. Lineage: Eukaryota; Metazoa; Arthropoda; Insecta; Diptera; Polleniidae.